Molecule: non-coding RNA, 528 nt
Organism: Camelina sativa (false flax)
Lineage: Eukaryota; Viridiplantae; Streptophyta; Magnoliopsida; Brassicales; Brassicaceae
Source: RefSeq, a predicted model, not a curated record
UUGCAAGGGGAUGUGGAUGGCAACAUAUAGGGGCUUACGUGAACUUAGGAGCUUUCUAUCUCUGGGGGACACCCAUGGCUGCAUGUUUAGCCUUCUGGUUUGAUCUGAAAGGUGUUGGCCUUUGGAUCGGAAUCCAAUCUGGUGCGGUUCUGCAAACUACUCUUCUCGCUAUUGUCACGGGCUGCACAAACUGGGAAAACCAGGCUAAUGCAGCAAGGAAGCGAAUGGCUUUGGCCUAAGGUACGUAAGGCGCUAGAGAACAGCACUAACCGAGUCAGAACUUGGCAUCUACCGAUUAUAUAUAGGGACCAAGUGUUCCACUUCGAUCGGUUUCAAAAUUUUGUUAGCAGUCAAAUUGUUGUAUGUUAUUUUGUGAAUAGUGGUGGAGCCGCUAUGACGUCUUUUUGUAACCAAGACUUGGCAUAAUGUUCUACUGUCCUAUAAUAAUAAGAAUAGUGGUGGAGCCGCUAUGAAGUCUUUUUGUAAACUGCAAAAUUUUCGACUGUAAUGAUAAAAUUCACUCAUCAA